This 253-nucleotide ribosomal RNA is filed under the name uncultured bacterium. RNAcentral describes it as "partial 16S ribosomal RNA". It matches the Rfam family "Bacterial small subunit ribosomal RNA", at positions 524 to 776 of the family's 1533-position model. The record is from RNAcentral.
UACGAAGGGGGCGAGCGUUGUUCGGAUUUACUGGGCGUAAAGGGCGCGCAGGCGGCUCAUUUUGUCAGGCGUGAAAGCCCCGGGCUUAACCUGGGAACUGCGUUUGAUACGGAUGGGCUAGAGUUCGGGAGAGGAGAGUGGAAUUCCCAGUGUAGAGGUGAAAUUCGUAGAUAUUGGGAAGAACACCGGUGGCGAAGGCGGCUCUCUGGGACGGUACUGACGCUGAGACGCGAAAGCGUGGGGAGCGAACAGG